UUCCUCUAAUCCAGCUCAUGCUCGUCUUCAACAUUUACUCCUUGAGAAGUCCAAGGUUGGUUUCGAUAAACUCGAUGAUGCUCUCCAAGUGUUUGAUAAAAUGCUCCUUAUCAAACCUCUGCUUCCUGUUAUCAACUUUGCUCAACUAUUAGCUGCCCUUGUUAAAAUGAAAGAGUACUCCGUAGCUGUCUCCCUUUUUAGAAAGAUGCGUGUAGAAAGCAUCCCUGUUGAGAUAUUUACCAUUACAACUAUCAUCAACUGUUUUUGUCACUUGAAUCGUGUCGAUUUUGCCUUUUCAUUACUGGCUGGAAUCAUCAAGCACGGUUUUGUCCCUGAUGUGAUUACUUAUAACACUCUCAUCAGGGGCCUUAUUUCCCAAGAUAUGCUUCAAGAGGCUCAGCUUUUUUUCCAGAACCUCAUCAGAUUUCAACUUAUUCAACCCAAUGUUGUUACCUAUACAACUAUCAUUCACGGCAUCUGCAAGAGAGGGAAUCCUUCUGUGGCUGUUAAGUUGUUCAAAAUUAUGGAGAAGAAAGGUUGCAAGCCUAAUACUGUGACUUACAACACACUUAUUGACUGUUUGUGUAAGCAUAGAUUAGUUGAUCAAGCAUUGGGUCUUCUCCACCAAAUGACAAGGAAAGCAAUAUCUCCGGAUGUUAUAACCUACAACUCAUUAAUUCAAGGGUUGUGUGACUUUAAUCGAUGGCAUGAUGUCAAACAAUUGCUCAAGGAGAUGGAUGUUAGGAACAUUUCUCAAAAUGUUUUUACUUACAAUAUAUUGAUUGAUGCGUAUUGCAAAGAAGGAAUGAUUGAAGAUGCAGAGGAUGUGAUAGAGUUGAUGAUUCAAAGAGGCCGUUAUCCUGAUGUAGUCACUUACAGCUCACUCAUGGAUGGAUACUGCUUGCGAGGAGAGGUUGAUAAAGCAUUAGCAGUGUUUGAAAGCAUGAAGAGAAAGGGAAUAUUGCCGGAUACUCUUAGCUAUAAUAUCCUCAUCAACGGUUAUUGUAAAAAGUUUAAAGUGGACAGAGCCAUAGAUCUUUUUCAACAAAUGCCCUCUGAAGGUUUAACCCCAACUAUUGAGACUUACAGCACUAUAUUGCAAGGUUUUUUUCAUGAGGGUAGACAUGUUGAAGCACGUAAAUUUUUUAAGGAAAAGAUGAUUAACCAAGGUGUUGAGUUGGAUAAAGUGACAUGCCGUAUCUUGUUGCAUGGUCUUUGCCAGAAUAGUUAUGUUGUUGAAGCACUAUCCUUUUUUCAAAUACUGGAAUCCAGGGGGUUAGUUCCUGAUAUACAUGUUUACAAUAUUCUGAUUGAUGGACUAAGCAAAAAUGGACAUCUAGAGAAUGCAAGAAGGCUUUUUGACAACCUUCCUUUGAAUGGUUUGCUGCCUGACGUCAAGACAUACACAAUGCUGAUCCAAGCAUAUUGUCAUGAAGGGUUAUUUGAGGAAGCGAAUGAACUAUUCAGGAAAAUGGAAGCAAAUGAUUGCUUGCCUACUGAUGUAACCUACAACAUACUAAUCCGAGGUUGUUUACCCAAUAAGAAGUACUAUGAAGCAGGUGUACUCCUGGAUGAAAUGCGUAGUCACGGCUUUGCAUCAGAUGCAUCUACCGCAUCUGCUUUCCUGGAUUUACUUGAAGUGCAAGAACAGGAUCCCGCUCUCCUUGCUUUGCGCAAGAAGUACUCGCCAUAAGUGUAACGAAAGGAGAGAGUGGUAGAAUUCAUAAUCUUAUCUAUUUUGCCAACAUUUUUCAAAGGGAUUGAUAACAAAAUUUACAUGCAUUAACAAUCAUGAUAACGGCAUGUAGUAUAGACAGGCUCUACUACUACGCUGUCCGAUGUCAUUGUUGUAAAGUUUGCAGCUCUUCUCCUAUCGAGUAGUUUAUUUCUUCCAUGUACUGCAGUUACAAUUUUUUGGGGUUUGGUAUAAUCUUUUUAAAAUUAUAUAUGUUUCAAAUGAAUGUCCUUUUUUAUUUUUGCAUUGACACUUUGUCUGCAGUUUGUUGAUUUGUCCUAAUGUCUUUAGUAUGCAUGAACACUUUAUAUAGGUUAACUGUGGUCAGAAAGACCGGAAUCUUCGAUCCAUAGAAAUGAAGAGCCUGCAUUAUAAAAAAAACGUGGACCAAUGGUUUUGGUGGCUUUGUGAAGCCUUGCCGCUGGUCCUAUAUGAGAUCUAUGUUUACAUACCAUAUUCAUGAAUCCAUCUCUGGAUAUACGCUCUACAUUUCUUAUUAUGUUAAAAGAAUUUGGGAUUAGAUAUGUCAAUUGACUGAAGGUUGGCCAGGAGUCUGUUUCUCCAGCGUUUCAUUUCUUCCCUAUAUCCUCUUACUACUAGAUUCUGACAACAGCCUUAGCUGAGGUUGUCUGAUACUGAUGUCUGCAAGCUUUUCAGUCCAGUGCAGAACCCCUCACCUGGCCUUAUGCCAGUGACCUGUGACCUAUAUAUUGUCUAUUUUCGUUUACUUAGAUUUUUUAUUAUGGCUUUCUUAUCUCAAGUAACUUACUGUUAGAAACAGAUUCGGGUGUGGUUUGUUUCAUCAAUAUUAUAGUUACAUAGGGAAUUCGAACUUUCCUAUAACUAAGUUUCAAGGUAGUAAAUUUUGUGUCUUUCUGGUUCAUUGCUAUACAGGAAAUCAGGAAUUAACCGGAGAUUUGAUUUUGUUUGAACGAGAAUUUAGGAGGAAAUAUACAUGCAAGUUUGUGAUGGAUGCAGGAUACAACAUUGUGUUCAUUUCACGACUUUGCAGCAAUCUAUUGCAUCUGCUUUCCUAGACUUACUUGAAGUGCAACAUCUGGAUCCUGCUCUCCGCAACUGCUUGCCAGAGAGUGGUAUGAUACAUCAUAAUCUAUUUACUUUGCCAACAUGUUUGGAGGGAAUUUGUAGGAAUUCGCAAUUAUAAUAAUGAUUUGCGGUAUCAACAGGCUCAACUAUUAUUAUGUCAGUUGUCAAUGCUGUAAAACUUUCACUUCUCCUGUCGAUUACUUUAUUUUCUUCCAUGUACUGCACUUACAAAUUGUUGGGAUUAAUUUGAUACGGAGUAUAAUUUUUUUAAUUAUAAUGAAGGUCCUUUUUCGGUUUUGCAUCGACUCUGUAGUAUGUCGAUUUGCUAAUGUCUCAUACUUGUGUCUGCAAGCCUCUCAGGCCAUUGCAGGGCUCAGAGCGUCUUAACUAAUCAGCCUAGGUCAACUCUUAACAUAUAAAUCGUUCAAUUAUAGUUAGGGGUCAUUUGGCAAAUCUGAAUUGAAUGAGUAAUAUAGCUGAAUGAUGUUAAUAGAUGAAUCAUUUGAAUUCUGAAUGAAUAAUAUUGUUUGAUAAAUAAUAUUUGAAAUAUCUGAAUAAUAUAUCAGAAUAUGAUAAUUUGUUUUAAUAAAAUAAAUGCAUACAAAUCUGAAUUAAAUAUAUAUCCCUUGAUUUUUAAUAAGAUCAAAACUUAAUUAAACACAUAUAAAAAGAAUAUUACAUGUAUUAUUAUUCAAAAGAAUUAUAAAGUUAAAAUUUAUAUUGAUUGAUAUUAUAUUUUUUUGUAUUGUUUUUGAAAGAUUAUAUUAUUUUCAGUCGAUUACAAACAAAAUUUGUGAUAAGAUUAACAUAAAUAUAAAAUAAUAUAGUAAACAAACAAGAAUGUACAAUUUUUUAUAAGAUGUGCAUGGACAAGCAGUUCUGAAUCGUUCUUUCCCAAUGAUUGGGUAAGCUACAUAUGAAUAAUUCAGAAUGUAAACUAUCAUGGCCAAACAAUCUUAACGUAGAUUAAUCGCUAAGAUGACUUCAUUCAGUUCUGUUUAGCCGAAAACAAAUGAGCCCUUAGUAGUCAAUUGUAUAUCUAAGUCAUUUAAGAAAUUUUUUUGAUGAUAUUUAAAAUACUUAACACCAUUUAAAAAAGUAUUUUAUGAUAAUACUAAGUGAUAUUUGAAUGAAUUGAGUAUAUAUUCUAAUACAAACUUUUAUUUUCAUAUUCUACAUUUUAUAUCAGGACACACAUUAUUUAUUAAAUAUAUCUUCCUUCCUAUCUUUGGGAUUAGUCAUGAUCCUAAUUUUUAUUGAUACAGAGUUUAUUUGUCUGAGUUAAAAAUUGUGACUCAUGACAUAACGUGACUUAAUCUGAUAAGUCAAACAUUUAUUACGUGUGUCGGGAUAGUUUUGACUUAUAAAUGACUUAUGAGCUAUUAAAAAUAUAAUAAUAAUAAAAAUAAUUUAUGGGUAAAUUAUGACUUAUGGGUAAGUUUUAUCAAAAAUAUUUUGAAAAAUUUACUAAUAACUUUUGUCUUUAAGUCAGUUUUUGGUUUAUUUAUAAGUCGAUUUCUGACUUAUCCCGAGAUGUUGUGUUUCCUUAUCUGCAUUCUACAACAGUACCAUUGUUCCAUGCCCUACAUGCAGUUGUGGCUGCACCGGACAACCUGGAAUCAACUGUGUCAAGUAAUUAUUUUAAAUCUUUCUCUUUAUCUAUUUUAGUUCAAGUAUUAAUCUUUUUUUUUUUUAUGUUGCCAUGUAGUUUAUAGAAUAGACUAGUCGUUAUUGGAGAUGUAUGUGGCACAGUUAGUAAGUAUAAAACUUGUGUCCAGUUGAGAGAUGACUUCGUAGAGAGGCAUAUGUGUGUUGGACUUGGGAGAGAGGUUAUAUUACCCCAGUUAACAUGUUUAGUGAAGAUUAUACUUUGAAUAGAGCAAUAGUGUAUUAUGAUCUUUCUUCUCCAAAAUAUUGUCCCGUCUUUGCUCUAGUUCAACUAAUUUAACGAUGAAGUUUGAACUCUAGUUUUCCUGCUAACUUUUAACUUAAAACUUGAAUAAUAACUUUUCUAGCAUUAUCUUCUUUCAUUUGAAAUCGGCAUUUGCAUUUAUCUUCUUUCAUUUGAAAUCGGCAUUUGCAUUUAUGUACAAUUACUUUUAUUGAUAGGCCUGGCGAAUCACUACCGGUAUUACAGCUUCCGACUGAUGAAGAACCCCGGCCAGUCGUCAAGUGUACAAGGCACAUGUGUCCUGUAACAAUCCAUUGGCAUGUAAAAGAAAGUUAUAAGGAGUACUGGCGAGUUAAGAUGACGAUUAUGAACCAAAACUUUGCUCAGAAUUAUAGUCAUUGGAAUAUGGUGGUGUUACAGCCCAACCUGAGGAGUGUCACACAGGUUUUCAGCUUCGACUAUAUUCCCCUAAAUCAAUAUGGAAGCAUCAGUAAGUUUAUCAUAAAUUUGCAAUUGGGCCGUGCUAAAUUAAUGUGCAUCUCCUUAUGUUAGUACGUUUCUUAAGUGCAUCUACUGCUGUGCAGAUGAUAGUGGUGUAUUUUACGGCGUCAGCUUGUACAACGACAUGUUACUCCAAUCCGGUCCACAGGGUAAUGUGCAGUCGGAAAUGUUACUACACAAAGAUCCAGACAUGUUUACUUUCCGACAGGGGUGGACAUUUCCAAGAAAAGUUUCUUUCAAUGGUGAUGAAUGUGUAAUGCCUCAGCCAGAUGACUACCCAAGCCUUCCAAAUGGUGCACAACCUAGUUCCCCUGCUACACUACUCUUUAUAAUGCUGCUGUCAUUGCUUUUUAGUGUGCUUGCACUUUGAAUCAGAAGUAUUAGAUUUCCUGGCAAACAUUUUUAGCUUUGAUUCAGAAUGUCUGUUGUGAAUUGGUAAAGAGCAUUUAUAGGGAAAAAAAUUCCAAAAUUAGUUGUCAUUUUCUUUUUACAGAACAGUUAUAAUAUAUAUAUAUAUAUAUAUAUAUAUAUAUAUAUAUAUAUAUAUGAUAAAAAAAUUGCACGUGCCUCCCUGUUCUAAAAAAGUCAGCGAUUAAUCACGGAUUAAUUCUUGUUCCGUAACUCGCGGAACAGAUUAAAUCUCCGAUUAAUAGCUGAUCAAUCCGAUUAAUCUCCGAUCAGUUCAUUUAAUCUCUAAUUAAUCCUUGUUUCCUAACUUUACUGAUUGAAUACGAUUCUCAUUUUUUACAACACGCCUGUGGUCAUAAUUUUUUGAAAAUAGAAAAGGGAAAGGAGGGCUUAAAGUUUGAGAGUGAUAAAAGUGAGUAGCAAAAGCAGAGUUACUGAAAGAACUCAAGAAAGGAUUAGUCAUAGUAUAGAAUAGAAAGAUGAUGAAGCAGAAGGGAGCUUCAAUUACUUCCAUGAGAUGGAAGCAGUGGAAGGUUGGUUUCGAUAAACUCGAAGAUGCUCUUCAAGUGUUUGGUAAAUGCUCCUUAUGAAACCUCUGCCUACUGUUAUCGACUUCAAUCAACUGUUAGCCGCCCUCGUUAAAAUGAAACACUACUCCGUAGCUGUCUCCCUAUUCAGGGAUAUGUGUGUUCGAAGCAUCCCCCUUGAUAUAUUUACCUUCAACACUGCCAUUAACUGUUUCUGUUACUUGAAUCGUGUCGAUUUUGCAUCUUCAUUAUUGGCUGGAAUCAUCAAGCACGGUUUUGUCCCUGAUGUGGUUACUUAUACCACACUCAUCAGGGGCCUUAUUUCCCAAGAUAUGCCUCAUGAGGCUCAGCUUUUGUUCCAGAACCUCAUCAGAUUUCAACUUUUUAAACCCAAUGUUGUUACCUAUAACACAAUCAUUCACGGCAUCUGCAAGAGAGGAAAUCCUUCUGUGGCUGUCAAGUUGUUCAAAAUUAUAGAGAAGAAAGGUUGCAGGCCUGAUACGGUAACUUACAACACAAUUAUUGACUGUUUGUGUAAGCAUAGAUUAGUUGAUCAAGCAUUGGGUCUUCUCCACCAAAUGACAAGGUAAGACAUAUCUCCAGAUGUUAUAACCGACAACUCAUUAAUUCAAGGGUUGUUAGACAUUAAUCGAUGGCAUGAUGUUAAACAAUUGCUCAAGGAGAUGGAUGUUAGGAACAUUUCUCGAGAUGUUUUUACUUACAAUAUAUUGGUUGAUGCAUAUGGCAAAGAAGGAAUGAUUGAAGAUGUAGAGGAUGUGAUAGAGUUGAUGAUUCAAAGAGGAGAAUAUCCUGGUUUAGUUACUUACAAUUCACUCAUGGAUGGAUACUGCUUGCGGCGAGAGGUUGAUAAAUCAUUAGCAGUGUUCGAAAGCAUGAAGAGAAAGGGAAUAUUGCCUGAUACUCUUAGCUAUAAUAUCCUCAUCAACGGUUAUUGUAAGAAGUUUAAAGUGGACAGAGCCAUAGAUCUUUUUCAACAAAUGCCCGAUGAUGGUUUAACCCCAACUACUGAGACUUACAAUACUAUACUGCAAGGUUUUUUUCAUGUGGGUAGACAUGUUGAAGCCCGGAAAUUUUUUAAGGAAAAGAUGAUUAACCAAGGUGUUGAAUUGGAUAAAGUCACAUGCUCUAUCUUGUUGCAUGGUCUUUGCCAGAAUAGUUAUGUUGUUGAAGCACUAUCCUUUUUUCAAAUACUGGAAUCGAGGGGGUUAGUUCCUGAUAUACAUGUUUACAAUAUUCUGAUUGAUGGACUAAGCAAAAAUGGACAUCUAGAGAAUGCAAGAAGCCUUUUUGACAACCUUCCUUUGAAAGGUUUGCGGCCUAAUGUCAAGACAUUCACAAUGAUGAUCCAAGCAUAUUCUCAUGAAGGGUUAUUUGAGGAAGCAAAUGACCUCUUCUGGGAAAUGGAAGCAAAUGAUUGCUUGCCGGAUAAUGUGACCUACAAUACACUUAUGCAUGGUUAUUUACACAGUAAGAAGUACUAUGAAGCAGGUGUACUCCUGGAUGAAAUGCGUACUCGCGGCUUUAAAGCAGAUGCAUCUACCGCGUCUGCUUUACUGGAUUUACUUGAAGUGCAAGAACAGGAUCCCGCUCUCCUUGCUUUGCGCAAGAAGUACUUGCCGUAGGUGUAACAAAAGGAGAGUGGUAAGAUACAUAAUCUUAUCUAUUUUGCCAACAUUUUCCAAGGGUUUGAUAACCAAAUUUGCAGGCAUUAACAGUCGUGAUAAUGGCAUGUAGUAUAGAUAGAGGCUGUGCUACUACACUGUCAGAUGUCAUUGUUGUAUACCUUGUUGUUCUUCUCCUAUCGAGUAGUUUAUUUUUUCAACGCACUGCAGUUACAAGUUGUUGGGGUUCAUUAUAUAUAAAUUUUUUAAAAAUUAUUUAUGUUUCACAUGAACGUCCUUUUUUGUUUUUGCAUCGACUCUUUGUCUGUAGUAUGUCGAAUCGUUCUAAUGUCCUUGGUACAUGAGUUGACAAUUGACGUGAACACUUUAUAUAGGUUAAAUGUAGUCAGAUAGACUAGAUCUUCAAUCCAAAGAAAUGAAGAGCCUGUAUUAUGAGGGGGGGGGGGGGGGGGCACCAGUGGUUUUGGUGGCUUUUUGAAACCUUGUCGAUGGGCCUAUAUGAGAUCUAUGUUUAUAUUCCAUCUUCGUGAAUGGAUGUACUCUUAAUAUCAUAUUAUUUUGAAAGAACUUUGGAUUAGAUAUGGCAAUUGUCUGAAUGUUGGCCAGGAGUCUGUAUCUUCCCUUUAACAGCGCAUGUCUUUAAUAUCUAAUUUUCUGGUUCCUAUGUUCCCCAGGUUAACAGAUGCAAUUAUCUUAGACUUGCUUCUUUGCGUUCUGAUUGAUACCCUGUUGUAUAUGUUCUUAGGAAAAAUUAGUUGCUGAAUCACUAUUUCAUCUGGAGCACUGCUACUUACUAAUGGUUUUAGUUCUAUUCCCGGAAAAGAAUAUUUGUUGUUCACAAUCUCCACCGUUUUAUGAUUAAUUCUCCAAGAUCCUUGAGCCUCCAAUUUGUGCAGAAUUAAGUUUCAACGAAGGAUCAUCCUUAUGCCAGUGACCUGUGAACUAUAUAUUGUCUAUCUUAGUUUACUCUACAUGUAUAUAUUUGUUUUUUUUAAAUCUAACUUACAGUUUGAACAAAUUCAGACCUAGUUCGGUUCGUUAAUAUUACACAUACAUAGUGAAUUUGAACUUAGCUAUAACUAAGUUACUGGUUGCAGGUCAAAGUUUCAAGGUAGUAAACUUUGUGUCUUCUGGUUUAUUAUUAUACAUUACUGUAGGGCAAGAAUUUAUGGGUAUAGAGUAUUUUGUACCAUGCUUUUUAAGUGUUUGAUAAAAGUACUGACACAAGUUUUCAUUUUUUUUGGCAGAUUCAAUAUUUUGUUGAGGUUAGUUUACUCACCUUUAUAAUUAUAUAUAAUUGUCGAAUGUUUUGAUAUGACUUUUCUGUGGUUUCAUAUCAAAUCAAGUAUAGCUUAUGUAAUUUUAUAUUGGUGUGAUUUUCUGUUUUAUGAAUUGCAGGUUCAAGACUUUAAUAUUUUUUACAAGACGACUUAAAGACUAUUGAGAUUGAGGUAUACUAUUAUCUAAGGUAUACUAUUCUCCAUUGUCCUUUGUUUAAUCAAUGAAUGAAAUAUUUAUUGUAUUUAUGGCGAAGAUACUAUUAGUUUGUCAUGAUUUGUAGUCCUUAUUUUGAUAGACUAUCUUUAAUGUAGUGGGUUAAUAUUUUUUGUUAAAUGUUGGUUGGACUAUCAAACACGCUUUUUAUGGAAGAGAUAUCUACUUGUUUGGACAGUUCAACAACAUAUGAACUUGUUGAUUCACUGCGCCAUGUGGUUUUAUUCUUCAAGAAACUGCUCUCAUCUUUCUUUUGCAGCCAGCCCCGAAAAUGACUGUGAGGGAAACCUUGGAAUUUUCUGCCAGAUGUCGGGGAGUUGGAUGACUCUAUGGUUAGUUGAUAUUCAUUGUACUGUAUUCUCAGUACUGAUAUAUUUGCUUGGGGACUGAUAUGCUUAAUUAUAUGUUAAUUUGGCCGGGAAGCUACGAAGAACCGGGGAACCAAAGCAACAAUAGAGAACUGUAAUGAAAAGGAUUACUCUACGGCAACAGUAUGUGGUAGAGACCGGCCAAAACUACUAUUUGAUAUUGUGUGUGCCCACACAGCCAUGUAUUGUUUUCACAGCUAUUCAUAUAAUUUAUUAUGCAGAUGAUGAUCUUUCCUGGUUAUUGAAUUUUUAAAACUUAUGGCAAUCAAGUUUUUAACACGGCUUAGUUUAAUAACCUGCUGAUUAGUAUCUGGUUACAUGAAAUUCACAGGAGUAUUACAUUCGGCACAAGAAUGUCUUCCCCCUCCUAAACGUGGAUGAUGGAUGCCAAAAGGCCUGUGGUAACUAAACAUUUGAUUGCAGCAGUUGAAACGAGAGUUUCACAUGUUAGAUGUCCAGCUGUCCGCGCUCAAUAUAUUAGGCACUGUAAAUUUGGGUUUGGAUACAGCAACCAGAGUACCUGUGAUUCUUUGUAAGUUGAUUCUACAUUAUAUAUUCGAUGUAAUUUGAGUUUCACCUGUGAUUCUUUGGCCUGUGUUGUAGUGAAAUUAGCAGAAAGCCAUUUUUUAUGUUUCACUUUCCCUUUCCACCUCUACUUUCUUCCUACAAUUUCUUUCCAUGUUCACGGGCCGGCUACUUGAUGAGAACAUGUUGUUCACACCCUUGGAUGAGCCUUUUCUUCUAUUGUAUUUAGGGUUCCCAAACACUAGAUUGGACGGACUGGCUCUGCAUCUGCAACACUCUGCCCAAACCAAUUGAAUUCAGCGGCAGUCUAUCAAGUAAUGGUCUUUAGUUAUAACCAGGUUCAGCAAUCCACCAAAACACUAACUGAAAGCCGCAUAGAUAAAUUACAUUGUAGAAUGCAUUGUCAAAAGAUGAGCCCUUAUAAAUAUAUAAAAGGUUAUAAACUGCCGAAUCCACCAAGGUUUACAUAGUUGAAGAUAAUCAAACAUCCAUAUGUUUAUUUAGAUUAACUUGGAAAUGAAUGUGUUGGAUACACCAUUCCUUAGAUAAUUGUUAUAGCUUAGUAAUUGAUGGCACUCAGUCGUUCAUGCGUUCACAUAAUUUAUUCUCACAUUUGAUCGAGAUUAGAAUAUAGAGAUUUUUGUGUGGGCCUGAUGUUUUUAUUUGCAUUAUGUAACAGAAAAAGUUUUACAAUGUAUCUGUACAAAAUCCCGAAGAUGAGGAUUUUUGAUUUUCUUGAUUUUUGUAAUUGUAGAUGUUGCCUGAUCUUUGAUCUUAUACAAAAUGCUAAAGUGGAGGCUUGGAAUGAAUGUGUUGCAACCUGCAGACCAUAUAGUCACAGCUUUUAGUGAUAAAUUGACCUCAGGACCUUCGUUAACUUCAGUGAUGGGUUUUACUUAAUUGAUACUCCUAUCUCCAGACUUUAAUUAUAGGUUUUGUAAUUACAAGUUUAAAAUAUUCAGACUUUAAUUGCAGGUCUUUAUACUUACCAAUUUAUAAUACUAUAUGGUUUAGGAUCAAUUUUUGUAAUAUAAUGGUGAAAUGAGGAGGAAGAUGCGUGUGAAGGCUCAAAACAAAAUUCUAAAAAGAAAGAAGGUAUGGCACGGCUGCAUUCAAAUUGUAGUUUUAUUUAUCCUUUUAUGUGUGUUGUCAGCAUUAUAUCUUUAAUUGUCCUGUCUUUAGGUUUACGUUGACAAUUUUUAGUCAUUUAUCUCUAGUGAUUAAAUAUUUAUUUUGAGUUACUUUAUUAAGUGAAGAACUAGCACUGUAGCCCGUGCGAGGCACGGGCUUGUGCUUAUAUGCGUGAUGAUUUUCGUUGUUUCGACAAUGCGGCUGUUGUGGAUGCGUUCUCUGUUGAAACUAAUCCAUUAUGAAAGUUCUCCUGAUAAAUUGUAAUAAAUCUAAAAACUCAUGCAAGGUAAUGAAUGUGUCCAGCGGGAUGGGGAGAAAAGAGCGACAUCAUUUGGGGAGAUAUACUUGAUCCUCUAGGAAUUAAUGGGCAACCUAAGAAUCAUGUGAUGGUUCACAUGUUUAACAAAUUUGACAUCAGAAUCUUGAAAUGGUUUAAAACCUUUUAUAUGAUCGAACUUGAGGAAACCGUAAACUUAGCUGGACUUGGUUUAAAUCUUAUUUGUAUUAGGAGUUUGUUUUAUUGCUUGCUCAUUUAGUUAUAGUUUGGGUUCACAAAUGAAAAUGCAGAGCUAAAAGCUUCGCAUCCAGAAUUAACGAAUCUGGAUCUUCAGGUGUCCGUGAAUUCGGCACCAGCAGAUGGGCUAUUGUUUGCCACUGUUUGUCAAAUAGAUGAAAAUGAUAGGUUAUGCUGUGCUUUCAAGUGAGAAAAAGUGCUUCUGGGGAUAUUUCUCCAAGUUUUUUUUAUACGCCGCAACUUUGAUGCAAAUGAAUAUAACAUCUGGUUGCUGAUUAGUACAGAUUUAAUGUUUGUGAUGACCACUAACACUGGCUAGGUAUAGUGAUUACACUUACACUAUAAGAAGAAGCAUCUUUAGUAAAGAACUAAUUAUACUAAUGGCACAAUUAUAUUAGUGAUUAAAUCCACUUUGACAUAGGCUUUGCUGACUUCUUUUAUAAGAUCUCAUUUUUAAACUAAUAUUUGUUAUGCAGCAACCAUGCUAAAUAAUCAGCACAUCAAAAUGUAUAUACAUAAAUUUGGUGAUUAAUAUCACUUAAGCAUCCAUCAAACCCAUCAAAAGUAGCAUAAGGCUUUUCAUAUCACAAUUUCCUAAACAGUCAUUACCUUGCUCAUUUGAUAGCAAAUGAAACUACACACUGCUACAAGAGGUAGUAAGAAGAAAAGGGUUGUAAAUAGACCAGAAAAGUGAUGACAUCCAGGUUUUCAACUCCCUCGCUAUGUCCCCAUUCAUUUAUAGAUUUUCAAUCUUCUGGUUUGCAGACCAUAGGUAAACUAAACCUGAUAGACAAAUCGGAGACGGGAAAUUAAUUACGUUAUGUAUAUAAAAAUAAAAAAAGGAGAAGACUGAACAUAUAAUUAUUAUGCAUAGAAAGAUUACAGUUGGUUCGCUCAUUCAAUUUUAACUGAAUCUUGGCCAGGCUGAAAGUUAAAGAGUUAAAUGCAUUGUGUGUGCUUGUUGUUCCGAGUUUGCGCACUUUGUGUACCUUAUUUUUCAUAUCUAGCAAUUUUUUUUAAAAAGACAUUAUAAAACUAUAAUUUAUAAAAGUCUGCGUGCCAAAAAUUAGCAUAAAAAAUCUGGUGGGAGGGAGAGUAAUUUUUAGUUAGUUUUUAUCCAUCAAUUGUUUCUCCUCGUUGAGAUUAUAACAAUAGAGAUGACUACUGUUUUUAAUUGUAUCAACUUAUUAAUUAGCAUAUUUUAAAUUUUAAAUUAUUUAUCACUAUUUUUUACAUAUUUUUUAAUAAAUUUAACAUAAAAUAUUAUAGAGUUAAGUUCCAUGUAGUCCACAUUUACUGUAGUAUCGUAGACCACUGUAACACCCCAGUCCCACAUCGAGGAGUGUGGGGAUAUUUGUUCAGUUUAUAAGUAUAAGUACUACUACCAAUUGCACCAACAAAUCAUGAUCUUUUGGGGGCCUGUGGUGGGCUUGUGGAUUCCCCAAGUUGUUGCAGUUGGGCCAGUAUAUUUAGGCUUAUUUUCGGAUUCGGAUUUCGGGACUUGACCUGAUUUUCGGAAAAGACUCGGGAUUUGACCCGGGUUGUUUCAUAUGGUAUCAGAGCCAGGUUCUCGAAAGCUUGAUUCGUCAAGUUGCCGGAGGUGGGGACACGAAGGCUGGUGGUAUUAUCCCGCAAUGGAGAGAGAUCCGGAGGCGGGGACACGAAGCCAGCCGGUAUUAUCCCACAAUGGCUAGAGAGGUUCGAUCUGGGCCUAUGGGCUAUCCGUUUCGGCCUGACGAGGACGUCAGGAAUUUAAGUGGGGGAGUUUGUAACACCCCAGUCCCACAUCGAGGAGUGUGGGGAUAUUUGUUCAGUUUAUAAGUAUAAGUACUACUACCAAUUGCACCAACAAAUCAUGAUCUUUUGGGGGCCUGUGGUGGGCUUGUGGAUUCCCCAAGUUGUUGCAGUUGGGCCAGUAUAUUUAGGCUUAUUUUCGGAUUCGGAUUUCGGGACUUGACCUGAUUUUCGGAAAAGACUCGGGAUUUGACCCGGGUUGUUUCAACCACGUAUGUUUUGCAACUAUAGAAUGACAUAAAAACAUUGCAAAAUGUAUGGAUAUUUGUUCAGUUUAUAAGUAUAAGUACUACUACCAAUUGCACCAACAAAUCAUGAUCUUUUGGGGGCCUGUGGUGGGCUUGUGGAUUCCCCAAGUUGUUGCAGUUGGGCCAGUAUAUUUAGGCUUAUUUUCGGAUUCGGAUUUCGGGACUUGACCUGAUUUUCGGAAAAGACUCGGGAUUUGACCCGGGUUGUUUCAACCACGUAUGUUUUGCAACUAUAGAAUGACAUAAAAACAUUGCAAAAUGUAUGAAACUUGUUAUUUUGUGAAAUACAUUCUAUAAAUAUCACUAUUUCAUGAAAAAUAUUGAAAAUCAUUUAUGUUCGACAAGUAGAACACAGAUGUUCUGUAAUAUGUAAAUAUGUUCUGCAAACUUAACAUGUUUUGCAGAAUAAUGUGUUUUUGACUAUUUAACUUAUAGAAUAUUUAGGAUUGUCAAAAUUUUUAACAAAAUAAUGAUGUUUAUAGAAUAUGAUUUGCAAAAUAACACAUUUUGCAAUGUUUUUACGCCAUUCCAUAGUUGCAGAACAUAUGUGGUCUACGGUACUACAGUAAAUAUGUGGACUACAUGGAACUUUGUUCAAAUAUUAUAUCGAUUGAGUUAUAUACAUAUAUAUAUUAUUGUACAUAUAUAAUUAAACUUAUAAAUAUUAAUUUAAAUAUAUAGAUAAUGAGAGUCAAACUUUAGUUUUUUGUUUAGAAAUGUUCUAAUAAAUAAGAGUUGUCACUAAUUUAAAACAAAUUUAUUAACAAUUAUAAUACUAGUAUGUUUUUCUCGUGCUCUGCAAGUGGGCUUAAUUUUUAUUUUAUUUUUGUGAUAAGCACAAUUUCGAUAAUUAUAAUAUCAUGAAUAUUUAUUAAAAAAUUAUUUAACUAACUAUAUCAAAUAGACUAUGAUACGCAUGAAUGUCCAACCACAAAUAAUAAUAUUUUUAUUUUUUACCUUUGUAUUUAAUAUUAUCCUUUUUAAAAUUUUGACUUUUUCUAAAAAUUAUUCUCAAAUCAUAAUGUUCAUAUGAAUAUAUUUCAGAAUGAUAUAUUUUAUUUUAAUACAAUCAUAAUGUUAAUCGAUGAUCUUUAAAGAGACGAAAAAAAUAUUCGGUACCAAAAAAAUAUAAGUUAGAUUUUAAGGUUUUUGAUGUUUAAUAAAAUUUAUUUUUCUAUUUAUGAUUAUUUGAGGCAUUGUGACUGCAAUACCACCACAUUUUUCGUCUUUAUCACAAUUUUCUGAAAGGUAUAAGUUGAAUUAAAAUUUAUAUUAAUAUGAAUUUAGUUAAUAAUAUAUGUAAAUAUGAAUUUCUCAUUGAUAUGAAUUCUAAAUAUUAUUAAAAAAUUUAUAGAGUUAUUUCAUAAAUUAAAUUAUUCGAAAUUCAAAUAUCAAAAUCAAAAUCAUAAUAUAAUUGUUAUUAUCAUUAUUAAAUAGAAAAAUCAUGUGAUAAUCAAAUUUUGAUAUUUUGAUAUUUAUAUUGUAAUAGUCCACUGAUGUGAUUUUGUUAUUGAUGAAGCAUAGAUAUCAUCACAUCCCGACGAAUUUGUAGCUUUUCGUGUGCAUGUUAAUCUACCUAAAGCUAAUUAGAUCCUUGCCAAACACCCAUAUCUUUCCUCUAGCUUUUUAUGUCUUGGUCUCUAUUAUUUUUUUAUCUUUCUUCAGCUGUGCAUUUGACGGAGUUAGGUGCAAACUAACGGAGGUACACUAUUUGCAAGAAUCUUGUAACUAAAGGUACACAAAGUGCUAGAUAUAAAAAUUAAGGUACACAACAUGCAUAAAGUUGAAACAACAGGUACACAAUAUGCAUUUAACUCAAAGCUAAGGGCAAAGUGCUAAUUUUUCGAAGUUAGCUAAUAAUUAAGCAAAUAGUCUGGCAGAAGUACAAAUGCAAAAGUGGACUAAUACACUUCUGAUCACCACAUGAAGAAUUUUCAGGUCCUGUACAAGUGAAGUCCUUUUAGUAAUUUAUGGUACUUUUCUUGAUCCAUAGAUGACGGAAGAGUAUAUUCUCUUGUAUAGUGCCUGUUUGUUUCCAUGCUGUCCGAGAAACGUAAGCUACCAUUCCAUGCACCUGACCUAUAAAAUUUUGAAUGGGUGAGAAAACAAAUUGCAAAGCUGCAUGUUUAUAAAUUGAGAUUUAUAUGUUAGUCAAACUCUACAGGAAUAUCUUUGAGAAAGCGUCAAUCGAAAUAGCUCAUGGCUUUUAUCAAGAACAAACUAUCUGUGUUUUUUUUUUACGAAGUUUUUUGCCACAAUGAUUUGUUACAUAUGAUAAUGAUAGUGCAUGCAAACAAAAAAAGGCAAUAUUGACAUAGCAGCAAAGGUAAUCCUAAUCUAAUACAUAAACUAAUUAAACUCUAAACUUAUCUAUCCAGGUAAUGGCUAAAAGCAACCGCAGGUUAAUUCAAGCAAGUCCCAACAUGCAUUAUGGGAAACUACAGUUAAAAAACAACCAGAAGCUCAUUUGAAGCAUUAAGAUGUGAUAUAUGCUUUUUCCAUCAAAAAAAAAAAAAAAAAAAAUGUGAUAUAUGCUUUAGUAAAAUUGAAACAAUUGUAUGUGCAGCAGACCUAUUUAAAAUAUCUGCCACAGGAUAAUAGCUAUUACAAGGACUUGAUCCUAGCUGAUCAAGAAAAAGACAAUCAUUUCUAUGAUAACCCAUAUGAAAAACAUGUUGGUGCAAUUUGGAUCGCUCGGGAUAUCUUCGAUUCCGUUUUUAGCUUCAAGAAAACAAUUGAUCUUUUUAGUAUGUUAUUUGUUUUACAAUGUGGUUGUAUCGGCAGUUGGGGGUUGUUCCCAGCUGUAUUAUAUUUAAUUUAAUCAAAUCUUCUUGCAUUUGUAAAAAAAAAAAAAGUCACUCAUAAGUAUUGUUAAAUCAUGGAAAACUAAUAUUUUGGAUUAAAUUUAACUAAAAUUAAGAUAAAAUUUUAAAUUAUACCAACAUCAUAUAAAAAUUAUAUAUUUUUACAGCACUUCUGACUUACAAACAAAUCAUAAUUUCAAAUUUUAUUUAAUUGAAAAUUUAAUUAUUAUUUGUAAAUUAAUUUUUUCACAUAAUUUAAAAUAUAUCUAAAAUGUUUAUAAAUAAAUAAAAAGUUCUCGUGCAGGCUAUAAGCUAGUACUAUUACAGUCAAAACAUUAACAAUUUGGUUUGUCGGUACUUGGGCCAAAUUACGAGUCUAUCUAUAUAACUAAUUAUUCUUUUUAAUUGAAAUAUAUUAUUUUUUUUAUAUUUCUAACUAAAAAAUCUCAAACUUCUAAAAUAACAUUGAAAAUCAUGAUAAUUAUCUUUUUAACUAAAAUAUAUUAUCUUUUUAUAAAUUUUUUAACUAACAAACCGAUUUUUUACAAUUAAUACAGACACAGGCGACAUAUUUAUAAAAAUAUAAUAUUAUUAUAUUGGUCGGGCGGUCGGUACUUGGGCCAAAGAUUGGGCCUAUAAAUAUAACCAAUUAUUUUUUUAACCAAAAUACAUAAUCUUUUAUAUAUUUUUUACCUAAAAAAACUCAAUCUUCUAAAAUAACAUCGAGGAAAAUAGUAAUUACCUUUUAACCGAAACGCAUGAUCUCUUUUAGAUUUUUAACUAAAAAACCGAACUUUUACAAUUAACACGGGCGACAUUAUAUAUAUAAAUACGGUCUUUCUAAUGUGUGUCCAAGGGCACACAAGAAGCACCAACUUUCAUGAAAAUGGCUUGUUUUGAUUGGUGGAAUUGAUGUAAAUGCAGGGGGGUCAUUUACAUUUAUUAUCCAUCCACCAAUCAAAAGCUAGUAUUCUCAUGGAUGUUAGUGACUAUUGUGUGCCCUUGGGCACACCAUAGAAAAUUCGAUAUAAAUAUAACAUCAUUAUACAUAAUUAUUAAUAAAAGAGCAAGGAAAGAAACAUGUGAUUUUAUUCAACAAAUAUACGUUAAUAACAUUAUUUUUAAAUACUCUAAUAAUCUCACGUUAAAAGAAAUUUUAUAAAUCUGUAAUAUACUAUAUAUUAUUACACUAUUAAAGUCGAAAUAUAAAAGCUUCAGUUGAUUGGUUGGUGAGUUGAGUUUGAUGAACCUGUAUUAUCGACUCAUGUAGCUCUUGAAUUUAUAACAUGUUAUAAUAUAUUUUUUAUAUUUAUUUAUUAAAUCAAAACGUUAAAUUUAGGUUAGUACGAAGAGUUCGGUAUUUGGUUUCAUGCCUCCCUUUGACUUAUAAUAUGUUUUAUAAUUUUAGAGUGUUUGACAAGCAGAGAGAUUGUAUAAGAAGGCAACUCACAGCAGCUUAUACGCCGCAACCAUCAUGAAUAUGGUCCGUUGUGUUCUGAAAGAAAAAGAGUGCCGAAACCUUACUGGGCUGAAGCUGCUAAUUGGGUGGCACAUGUUCUCAAUAUCAGCGAUAAAAGAAAAGACACCAGAAGAUGAUACAUUGUGGAACAGAAGAGCAGCUUGCGGACAUCAUGACAAAGCCACUUAAACUGGGAGUUUGUGAUGAGUUAAACUGGGAGUUUGUAAAUACAAUCAGUUUAGGAGAGGCAUUGUUGGGUUAGACUUGGUCGCGUUUUGUUAGCAAGUAGUUAAAUAAACUCCUAUCUUUCAGGAGAUAGUUAGUACUGUAUUGGGUUAGAUUUUCACUUUCUGUAGUUAUCUUUGUAAGGCUAUUUAUAAUCCAGAGCUUGAAUAUUUCUCUGCAUACUAUAGUUUCAGUUUUAACAGAGAUAUGAUGGUGAUGAUGAUGAAAUUUUUGAUAUCAAAUUCUCGAUUCCUACCACAUUCUGCUGCUUCACUUCAUACAUCCUUUUGUUUUUCUGCAGUUUCUCACUUCUCCACUAAACCAAACCCUAAUAUUUCCCUUAAAUCCAAACCCCAAUUCCCUUAUUCUUCUAAUCCAGCUCAUGCUCGUCUUCAACAUUUACUCCUUGACAAGUCCAAGGUUGGUUUCGAUAAACUCGAUGAUGCUCUUCGAGUGUUUAAUAAAAUGCUCCUUAUGAAACCUCUGCUUCCUGUUAUCAACUUCGCUCAACUACUAGCUGCCCUUGUUAAAAUGAAAGAGUACUCUGUAGCUGUCUCCCUUUUUAGGAAGAUGCGUGUAGAAAGC
RNAcentral lists this long non-coding RNA (18899 nucleotides) under Daucus carota (carrot). RNAcentral's name for it is "long non-coding RNA (DCAR_LNC006049)". The record is from RNAcentral. Lineage: Eukaryota; Viridiplantae; Streptophyta; Magnoliopsida; Apiales; Apiaceae.